UACGAAUGGGGCAAGCGUUGUUCGGAAUGACUGGGCUUAAAGAGUACGUAGGCGGUUUAUAAAGUCAGAAGUGAAAGCCCGGAGCUCAACUCCGGAAGUGCUUUUGAAACUCAUAGACUAGAAUAUUGGAGAGGUUGGGAGAAUUCCUAGUGUAGAGGUGGAAUUCGUAGAUAUUAGGAGGAAUACCAGAGGCGUAGGCGCCCAACUGGAAAAUUAUUGACGCUGAGGUACGAAGGCGUGGGGAGCAAACAGG
This 253-nucleotide ribosomal RNA is filed under the name uncultured bacterium. RNAcentral's name for it is "partial 16S ribosomal RNA". It matches the Rfam family "Bacterial small subunit ribosomal RNA", at positions 524 to 776 of the family's 1533-position model. The record is from RNAcentral.